This 353-nucleotide ribosomal RNA is filed under the name Mierspenaeopsis sculptilis. RNAcentral's name for it is "partial large subunit ribosomal RNA". The stretch from base 1 to 195 matches the Rfam family "Archaeal large subunit ribosomal RNA", at positions 1901 to 2143 of the family's 2987-position model. The record is from RNAcentral. Lineage: Eukaryota; Metazoa; Arthropoda; Malacostraca; Decapoda; Penaeidae.
AAAAACAUGUCUGUAUGAUGGUUAUAUAGAGUCUGGCCUGCCCACUGACCUAGGUUAAAGGGCCGCGGUAUUUUGACCGUGCGAAGGUAGCAUAAUCAUUAGUCUUUUAAUUGGGGGCUUGUAUGAAUGGUUGAACAAAAAAUAAGCUGUCUCGGUUGUAAAAAUUGAAUUUAACUUUUAAGUGAAAAGGCUUAAAUGAUGUAGGAUGACGAUAAGACCCUAUAAAGCUUUACAAUUAUUUGAUUUAAUUAUGAAUUAUUAGUAUAAAUUUAAUUUAAUUAAUGUUUGUUUCGUUGGGGCGACGGAGAUAUAAUUUUGUAACUGUUUUAUAAUUUUAUAACAAUAAUUUUUGG